AUUAACUCAAAUCAUUAAGUAAUCCACGACUAUUAUACACUCAUACUUUGAGUUUGGAUUACAAAAAAAUCAUUAACCUAUAAAUUAGAAGUUGAAGAGCUUACAUUAAUUAUUUAAUAGACACAUGGCAAAUGCUAAAGUGAUGAUGUGUCAAUCUUAUGAAAAGAGUUGGCCAACUUUCAUAUAUAUGAUUUCGUCUAAAUAAUAAGAUUUUAUAUAUACAAUUGAGAAUAAUUGAACAA
RNAcentral lists this small RNA (242 nucleotides) under Arabidopsis thaliana (thale cress). Its description in RNAcentral is "ATSL220480". Lineage: Eukaryota; Viridiplantae; Streptophyta; Magnoliopsida; Brassicales; Brassicaceae. The record is from RNAcentral.